Molecule: long non-coding RNA, 149 nt
Organism: Dalotia coriaria
Lineage: Eukaryota; Metazoa; Arthropoda; Insecta; Coleoptera; Staphylinidae
Exons: 3
Source: RefSeq, a predicted model, not a curated record
CACCUGAGUCUGACAUCGUAGAAGGACCAUUUUUGUAUCAGAUUGAAUUUUGCAGCUGAGUCUGACAUCGUAGAAGGACCAUUCUGGUAUCAGAUUGGAUUUUGCACCUGAGUCUGACAUCGUAGAAGGACCAUUCUGGUUACAGAUUG